Molecule: ribosomal RNA, 253 nt
Filed under: uncultured bacterium
Lineage: Bacteria
Description: partial 16S ribosomal RNA
Rfam family: Bacterial small subunit ribosomal RNA
Source: RNAcentral
UACGUAGGGGGCAAGCGUUAUCCGGAUUUACUGGGUGUAAAGGAAGCGUAGACGGCUUGGUAAGUCUGAUGUGAAAGCCCGGGGCUCAACUCCGGGACUGCAUUGGAAACUACUUGGCUAGAGUGCAGGAGAGGUAAGUGGAAUUCCUAGUGUAGCGGUGAAAUGCGUAGAUAUUAGGAGGAACACCAGUGGCGAAGGCGACUUACUGGACUGUUACUGACGUUGAGGCUCGAAAGCGUGGGGAGCAAACAGG